This 339-nucleotide unclassified non-coding RNA is filed under the name soil metagenome. RNAcentral's name for it is "partial contains 5.8S ribosomal RNA, internal transcribed spacer 2, and large subunit ribosomal RNA". The stretch from base 1 to 120 matches the Rfam family "5.8S ribosomal RNA", at positions 35 to 154 of the family's 154-position model. The record is from RNAcentral.
GAUGAAGAACGUAGCGAAAUGCGAUAAGUAAUGUGAAUUGCAGAAUUCAGUGAAUCAUCGAAUCUUUGAACGCACCUUGCGCCUUUUGGUAUUCCGAAAGGCAUGCCUGUUUGAGUGUCAUGAAAACCUCAUCCUAAGGGUUUCCUUAGGUUGGACUUGGCCGCUGCCUAAUGGCUCGGCUUAAAUGAAUUAGCGGUGGACGCGUUGCUGUAAGCGUAAUAAGUUUCGCUUUUAGUAAAGUGGUCGCGGCUUCUAAUCCGAACUUCGGUUCACUUUAAUCUUCGACCUCAAAUCAGGUAGGACUACCCGCUGAACUUAAGCAUAUCAAUAAGCGGAGGA